GGGAUGGAGACAUGCCUCAGUGAUAGAGCAUCUGCUUUGCAUGCAGAAGGUCCCAGGUUCAAUCCACUCAGCAUCCCU
This is a non-coding RNA of Podarcis lilfordi (Lilford's wall lizard), 78 nucleotides long. NCBI's taxonomy places the organism in Eukaryota, Metazoa, Chordata, Lepidosauria, Squamata, Lacertidae. The record is from the annotation of a GenBank genome assembly.